This 542-nucleotide ribosomal RNA is filed under the name Halomonas sp. HAL1. RNAcentral describes it as "bacterial SSU rRNA". It matches the Rfam family "Bacterial small subunit ribosomal RNA", at positions 990 to 1533 of the family's 1533-position model. The record is from RNAcentral. Lineage: Bacteria; Pseudomonadati; Pseudomonadota; Gammaproteobacteria; Oceanospirillales; Halomonadaceae.
UGCGAAUUUGGUAGAGAUACCUUAGUGCCUUCGGGAACGCAGAGACAGGUGCUGCAUGGCUGUCGUCAGCUCGUGUUGUGAAAUGUUGGGUUAAGUCCCGUAACGAGCGCAACCCUUGUCCUUAUUUGCCAGCACGUAAUGGUGGGAACUCUAAGGAGACUGCCGGUGACAAACCGGAGGAAGGUGGGGACGACGUCAAGUCAUCAUGGCCCUUACGGGUAGGGCUACACACGUGCUACAAUGGCCGGUACAAAGGGCUGCGAGCUCGCGAGAGUCAGCGAAUCCCUUAAAGCCGGUCUCAGUCCGGAUCGGAGUCUGCAACUCGACUCCGUGAAGUCGGAAUCGCUAGUAAUCGUGAAUCAGAAUGUCACGGUGAAUACGUUCCCGGGCCUUGUACACACCGCCCGUCACACCAUGGGAGUGGACUGCACCAGAAGUGGUUAGCCUAACGCAAGAGGGCGAUCACCACGGUGUGGUUCAUGACUGGGGUGAAGUCGUAACAAGGUAGCCGUAGGGGAACCUGCGGCUGGAUCACCUCCUUA